UACGAAGGGGGCUAGCGUUGCUCGGAAUCACUGGGCGUAAAGCGCACGUAGGCGGGUCUUUAAGUCAGGGGUGAAAUCCCGGAGCUCAACUCCGGAACUGCCUUUGAUACUGAAGAUCUUGAGUCCGGGAGAGGUGAGUGGAACUCCGAGUGUAGAGGUGAAAUUCGUAGAUAUUCGGAAGAACACCAGUGGCGAAGGCGGCUCACUGGCCCGGUACUGACGCUGAGGUGCGAAAGCGUGGGGAGCAAACAGG
Molecule: ribosomal RNA, 253 nt
Filed under: uncultured bacterium
Lineage: Bacteria
Description: partial 16S ribosomal RNA
Rfam family: Bacterial small subunit ribosomal RNA
Source: RNAcentral